UGGGGCGUAGCCAAGCGGUAAGGCAACGGGUUUUGAUCCCGCUAUUCGGAGGUUCGAAUCCUUCCGUCCCAG
This 72-nucleotide transfer RNA is filed under the name Helminthostachys zeylanica (kamraj). RNAcentral's name for it is "tRNA-Gln". It matches the Rfam family "tRNA". From Rfam's summary of the family: Transfer RNA (tRNA) molecules are approximately 80 nucleotides in length. Their secondary structure includes four short double-helical elements and three loops (D, anti-codon, and T loops). Further hydrogen bonds mediate the characteristic L-shaped molecular structure. tRNAs have two regions of fundamental functional importance: the anti-codon, which is responsible for specific mRNA codon recognition, and the 3' end, to which the tRNAs corresponding amino acid is attached (by aminoacyl-tRNA synthetases). tRNAs cope with the degeneracy of the genetic code in two manners: having more than one tRNA (with a specific anti-codon) for a particular amino acid; and 'wobble' base-pairing, i.e. permitting non-standard base-pairing at the 3rd anti-codon position. Lineage: Eukaryota; Viridiplantae; Streptophyta; Polypodiopsida; Ophioglossales; Ophioglossaceae. The record is from RNAcentral. RNAcentral also lists the same sequence under 192 other names.